Molecule: ribosomal RNA, 670 nt
Filed under: uncultured cyanobacterium
Lineage: Bacteria; Bacillati; Cyanobacteriota
Description: bacterial SSU rRNA
Rfam family: Bacterial small subunit ribosomal RNA
Source: RNAcentral
UGGGGAAUUUUCCGCAAUGGGCGAAAGCCUGACGGAGCAACGCCGCGUGAGGGAUGAAGGCCUCUGGGCUGUAGACCUCUUUUAUCAAGGAAGAAGAUCUGACGGUACUUGAUGAAUAAGCCACGGCUAAUUCCGUGCCAGCAGCCGCGGUAAUACGGGAGUGGCAAGCGUUAUCCGGAAUUAUUGGGCGUAAAGCGUCCGCAGGCGGCCUUGUAAGUCUGUCGUCAAAGCGUGGAGCUUAACUCCAUUUAAGCGAUGGAAACUGCAAGGCUAGAGUGUGGUAGGGGCAGAGGGAAUUCCCGGUGUAGCGGUGAAAUGCGUAGAUAUCGGGAAGAACACCAGUGGCGAAGGCGCUCUGCUGGGCCAUAACUGACGCUCAUGGACGAAAGCCAGGGGAGCGAAAGGGAUUAGAUACCCCUGUAGUCCUGGCCGUAAACGAUGAACACUAGGCGUCGGGGGAAUCGACCCCCUCGGUGUCGUAGCCAACGCGUUAAGUGUUCCGCCUGGGGAGUACGCACGCAAGUGUGAAACUCAAAGGAAUUGACGGGGGCCCGCACAAGCGGUGGAGUAUGUGGUUUAAUUCGAUGCAACGCGAAGAACCUUACCAGGGUUUGACAUCCUGCGAAUCCCUGGAAACGAGGGAGUGCCUUCGGGAGCGCAGAGACAGGUG